RNAcentral lists this transfer RNA (71 nucleotides) under Anguilla anguilla (European eel). RNAcentral describes it as "tRNA-OTHER". Lineage: Eukaryota; Metazoa; Chordata; Actinopteri; Anguilliformes; Anguillidae. The record is from RNAcentral.
GCCUGUGGCCUAGUGGGCAAGGUUACGGUCUUGGGAACACGGGGUCGUAGGUUCAAGCCCAGCUAGGAACA